RNAcentral lists this long non-coding RNA (3314 nucleotides) under Homo sapiens (human). RNAcentral's name for it is "HSALNT0401341". Lineage: Eukaryota; Metazoa; Chordata; Mammalia; Primates; Hominidae. The record is from RNAcentral.
AUAUAUAUGUGUGUAUAUUUUUUUUUUAUUAUUUUUUUUUCUGAGACGGAGUCUUGCUUUGUCACCCAGGCUGGAGUGCAGUGGUGCGAUCUUGGCUCACUGCAACCUCCACCUCCUGGGUUCAAGCAAUUCUCCUGCCUCAGCCUCCCAAGCAGCUGGGACUACAGAUGCGUGCCAUUAUGCUUGGCUAAUUUUUUUUAUUUUUAGUAGAGACAGGGUUUUGCCAUGUUGGCCAGGCUGGUCUCCAACUCCUGGCCUCAAGUGAUCCGCCCGCCUUGGCCUCCCAAGGUGCUGGGAUUACAGGCUUGAGCCACCAUGCCCGGCCUCUUGUUUCUAUAUUAAAGAGACAUUUACCUAACUAGAUAAAGACCUGCUAUGCCAUUAACUUAACUUUUUUUUUUUUUUUUUUUUUUAGAGACAGGGUCUCACUCUGUUACUCAGGCUAGAGGUGAGUGGCACGAUCACAGCUAACCUCAGCCUUGACCUACCUGGCUUAAGUGAUCCUCCCACCUCAGCCUCCCAAGUAGCUGGGACCAUAGGUGCAGCGUAAGCCACCACAUCAUUUAGCAGAAACGGGGUCUUAGUAUGUUGCCCAGGCUGUUCUUGAACUCCUAGGCUCAAGCCAUCCAACCACCCAAUCUCUCAAAGUGCUGGGAUUACAGGUGUGAGCCACCACACCCAUCUCACACCAUUAACUCUUUCAGUCAAUCUGCAUUAAGCAUUUAGUAUGUACUUGGUACUAUGGAAAGCAUCAAAGAAAUUGACACUACAGGUUCUAAAAACUUUCCAUUGAGGAAUUAAGACUUAGUCGGUCUCUAGCUGUGUGAUCUUAAGCUAGUUACUUAAUGUCUCUGAGUUUCCAUUUCCUGAUCUAUAAAAUAAGGAUGAAAUAUUGCUCUUGCAAGGCUCUUGUAUAUCCAUGUAUUCAGCAAAUAUAGCUUGAGUUCCUACUCAGUGUUCCACACACCUUUAGGAAGCAGAGAUUCAGUAGUGCUGGGCAUUGGAAGGAGUUUUCAGUGGGGAUGGAAUCCAGGCUGCAAAGAGAAAGCAUUUGUAUGUGAACGCUUCUGGAAAAUUACUUAAAGCUGGGCUCAGUGGCACACGCCUGUAGUCCCAGCUGCCCAGGAAACUGGGGUGGGAGGAUCUCCUGAGCCCGGGAGGCUCAGGAGGCUGCAGUGAGCCAUGAUUGAGUCACUGCAUUCCAGCCUGGGAGACAGAGCAAGACCCCGUCUAGAAAAAUAACUGAGACAUCCACCUUCUCCUGCCAUUGGACAUCUCGGGCCUUCUGACUUGGACCAGGACAGAUGCUGUUGGCUCCCUUGGUCCUCAGGCUUUCAGAUUCGUACUGGAACCGCAUCACCAGCUUUCUCGGGCCUCCAGCUUGCAGAUGGCAGAUAGUGGGACUUCUCCGCCUCCAUAAUCCUAUGAAUCAAUCCCUGUAAUAAAUCUCUUCCUGUUCAUAACUAUCUAUCUAUUUAUCUGUCUAUCUAUCUAUCUAUCUACCUACCUACCUACCUAUUAUCUGUCUACCUAUCGCUGAUUUUUUUUUUUGAGAUGGAGUCUCACUCUAUUGCUCAGGCUGGAGUGCAGUGGUGUGAUCUUGCCUCACUGCAACCUCUGCCUUCUGGGUUCAAGCGAUUCUCCUGCCUCAGCCUCCCAAGUAGCUGGGACUACAGGCAUGUGCCACCACGCCCAGCUAAUUUUUGUAUUUUUAGUAGACAUGAGGUUUCACCAUGUUGCCCAGGCUGUUUUCGAAUUCCUGACCUCAGGUGAUCCGCCCAUCUCAGCCUCCCAAAGUGGUGGGAUUACGGGCAUUACCUAUCAUCUAUUUAUCUCUUUAUUAUCUAUCUAUCUAUCUAUCUAUCUAUCUAUCUAUCAUCUGGUAUCUAUCACCUAUCUCAUCUAUGAUCUAUCAAUCUAUUAUCUAUCAUCUAUCUAUUAAUCUAUUAUCUAUCAAUCUAUCACCUAUCAAUCUAUUUCUAUUAUUUAUCUAUUAUAAAUCAAUCUAUUGCUCUAUCUGCCUAUCAUCUAUUUAUCAUCUAUCUACCUAUCAUCUAUUUAUGUACCUAUCUACCUAUCAUCUAUUUAUCAUCUAUUAUCUAUCACUUAUCUAUCAUCUAUCAAUCUACACUUGAUUUUAGCCAAAAGGCCAAGAGGCGAUCUAUCUAUCAUCUAUCAAUCUAUUAUCUAUCAUCUAUUAAUAUAAUUAUCUAUCUAUCUAUCUAUCUAUCUAUCUAUCUAUCUAUCUAUCCUACUGGUUCUAUUUCCCUGGAGAACCCUGACUAACACAGGCGGUAAGUAAGUUGUAGUGGUAACUGGGUUUGAGUCUGCCUCCUCCACUCCUCAACCACUUGAAUCUCUCUAUGCCCUGCCUUAGCCACCUAUGAAAUGGGAAUAAUUACAGCAAGGCCAACUCUUCUUCUUUUUUGGAGACGGAGUCUCACUCUUUCACCCAGCCUGGAGUGCAGUGGUGCGAUUUCAGCUCACUGCAACCUCCGCCUCCUGGGUUCAAGUAAUUCUCCUGCCUCAGCCUCCGGAGUAGCCGGCUAAUUUUUUUGUAUUUUUAGUAGAGACGGGGUUUCACCUUGUUGCCCAGGCUGAUUUCAAACUCCUGAGCUCAGGCUAACCGCCUGUCUUGGCCAAGUCUUCUUAAUGUCUGUUCAGCAUCUCUUCUCCCUGUCUUCCUUUUGUCACUGGAACCCCCCCAUAGGAUGCCCUAACACACAGAUUUUGGUAUGAGUGUGUUCGGCCCCAUCUAACUGAGGAUGCAUCGGAGAGGUCAGAUGUGCACAUUCACUGUGAAGGGACAGCCUUGAACGUGGACCCACACAGGGGUGAUUACUGGUGAUGAAAACUCCCUUGAGUUUUACUGAGUUGCAUUGCCAGAAGUGACAUGAUUGUCUAAAGUAGUGAACAAGUUUUGGUAAUGUUCCAAACAAAAGAAAGUACAGGCUUCCUUUAAUUUAUACAGAAGUGACCUUUGUGGAAAAUUCAAUAAUAUUGUCUUAAGUCUGUUUUUUGUUGCUUAUAACAGAAAUAACAUAAUACAUAAAACUUGGUAAUUUAUAAAUAAAAGGAAUUAUUACUUUUUUAAUUUUUAAUUUAUGUGGGUACAUAGUAGGUACAUAUAUGAGGAAUUAUUUCUUACAAUUAUGGAGGCUAAGUCCCAGGCUCGAGGGGCUGCAUCUGAUGAGUGCCUUCUUGCUGUUGGGGACUCUUUGCAGAGACCCAAAGAAGCACAGGGCAUCCCAUGAAGAGGGGCCUGAGCAGCUACCUGAGGUCUCUCUUCUUCUUCUUCUAAAGCCACAAGUCCC